This 602-nucleotide long non-coding RNA is filed under the name Rhinopithecus bieti (black snub-nosed monkey). Its description in RNAcentral is "lncRNA (ENSRBIG00000045491.1)". The record is from RNAcentral. Lineage: Eukaryota; Metazoa; Chordata; Mammalia; Primates; Cercopithecidae.
GGAAUGUGCACUUUGUGAAAUCUAAUAAAUAUUGAAGUCCAAACUAACUUUAAUUUAUGAAAGCCCUAAUUGAAAAGAUACCUUGCUGAUUGCUCAGUGAACUUACACUGACAAACUUUUAUCUCCAGUUUCUGAAGAGAGUUGUCUGUUUACAUGAAACAAACAAAAACAUGUCACACCUAUUGAGUCACUCGCUGAGAUGAUCCAUUGUCUAGAACAACAGCUUAAAAUUUCUUGACUGUGGUUACCGUAUUCUGGUUUGAGCUUGUAUAUACGCUGAUUUCCCCCUCUGCAGUACCUUCUGGAUUUCAGAGUGAAAAAUUAUUGUCCUUGUUCUGUGAAUUAACAAAAGAAACAAAUAGUAAGGCAAGCAAGUUAUAUAAACCUCAAAGUAUUACAGAUAUCCUGUUGAACAGCAACUAAACAACACAGUUUACCCAUACGCUAGUCUAAGGAAAUCACAGUGUAUUUUCCCUGUUUUUUGGCAAGUUAGACAGCCCAUAUAAAAAUAAAUGACAUAGUAAUUAAGCCCCACUAUCUGAUAUUAAACAGGUUUGGUUUGCCUCCUAUUUGCAUGUUCUAGCUGUGAUAAUUUACUUAAU